GUUGAUAAGACGCAGCUCCAACGGAGCAGCUGCGCAACUUGGCAUCGCGGCAACUUGGCAACUUGGCAGCUUGGACAGCUUGGACAGCAUGGACAGCUUCGACAACUGGCAACUGCAACUACAACUGCAGCCAGUUGCGUCUGAUGUCUGAUAACAAGCCGAAUGCCAAAUCUUUUUCUGCAUCUGCAGCUGGCGAGUUCAAUGACACUUCACCUACUUAUAUUUCAAUUCGAAAAGUCAACCCGACACUUUUAGCUGGGGCAGCAGGAAACGAAGAAAUGCAGAGACAAUGAGGCAUUGGACAAUCGAAGAUCCCCGCUAGCUGCUGCUGCCUAAAAGCAAAUUUAUAACCAAACUUUCUAAAGUGUGAAAAGAAAUAAGAAACAUUAAAAUUAAACAAGAACUGCUGCUGCUGCUGCUGCGCGCAGAAUCUGCAGCCGCAACGCUAUGGCAACGGCAGAAAGAAAU
Molecule: long non-coding RNA, 468 nt
Organism: Drosophila gunungcola (fruit fly)
Lineage: Eukaryota; Metazoa; Arthropoda; Insecta; Diptera; Drosophilidae
Exons: 3
Source: RefSeq, a predicted model, not a curated record